UGGGCAUGAAAAUGAUUGAAUCUAAAUGGAAAAUUUAUAGAAAAUCCUACCAUUCAAAAGAGCAGCUCUCCUCACAGUUCAGUUACAUUCGAUGAAACUAAUAGGCGAUUUUCCAGUUUGAACAAUCGUAGGAUGACUUCACAUUUCUAUAUUCCAGCAUUUGAACUUGAACAAGGAACUGGAGGAGAAAGAACUGAAUAUCUCUGCAUAAAAGAUGGCUAUGAAGACAAGAGUACAUGUUGCUGCAAAAAUGAUGGGCCAAGACAGUGUUCCUCUUGGAGGUUUCAUUAUGGGGAAGAGAAAUGAGAGAAACUUAUGUGCAGGACAGCAACAGAAUGAUGAGGAAAUUGCAGAAAGGGUUUAAGGAGGAUGGAGGUUUUAUGGGAUAUUGGAGUAGGAGUGAAGUUAAAGCAUAAUAUGAUUUUGUUAUUUUUUUUUUCAUUAAUACAAAUAAUGUAAUGAUGAAGUAUACUGGAGGUUGAGGCAUAAGUUAGAAGGCUAACAUCCUCAUAUCAUAAUUAUGAAUUAGAGACCAUGCAAUUUUACACCUGUCAUCAGUCAUAA
Molecule: long non-coding RNA, 564 nt
Organism: Prosopis cineraria
Lineage: Eukaryota; Viridiplantae; Streptophyta; Magnoliopsida; Fabales; Fabaceae
Exons: 2
Source: RefSeq, a predicted model, not a curated record